ACCACUCAAGCUGUUGCAUGUCAUUUUUGUUUCCCUGUGCUUUGUUUCCCUUGUGACUAACCCUGUCUGUCUUGAAAGCUUUUGGUGGCUGAACCUCAUUUGAGGGAUCUUGUCCCCCCUUCGGACGCUAGCUUCGUCCACGCCAUAUCCCCUCCACUCGUGAAGGAGUCCCGAACAUGCGCCUGCCUCCCCUGCUGGUGUCUGCGUCGCCCUUCGCCAGAAGAUCUGCGCAAGGUGAGAACCAUCAUGGACAACCUUCUCUAUGAAUUAAGGACUGAGGAUUGGCACGAGACUGGAAGCGCUGGACCGUUUUGAGAAGGCUCUGGACCAACAACCCUGCCUACUGAAUGCUCCUGGUGUGGCAAGGCUGGCUUGGGAGGUGGGCCUUCUCAAAGGAUCCCUGCUAUCGGCUCUGAACUCCCUCAGUGCUCCUCAUGCUGGGCUUAACAUGGGGCCUGCUAGCCCCCAACCUGUCUCUCCCAGCCUGCCAGCGCCGCUGGCCAGCUGGUUCCCCCUGCUACCGCUUCGGCGCCGGCCCUCAGCCCAGCAGACCCGUCCCUGAUUUCCCCUACUACUGUCUCGCUGCUGGCCUUCAGCAUUACUCCCCGGCCUCUGGAGAGGUCUCGCCCUCAUCCCAGUUGCCCCUUAGCCCGACCUCCGGAGAGGUUAUGCCUUCUCCGCCGGCCUCUGCUCAGCCCCCCGUGGACCUUAGCUCAGGAUCUCGACCUCCGGGCUGUCCACCUGAACUCCCCGGUUCCCCUGCUCCGCCCUUGGGGGUCCCUCUGCCCUUGGGACACCCGUCUGAACUCCCUGGUCCCUCAGUUCUGCCCUGCCCACUCGCCUGAUUUUAUUUAUAUUCCCCAGCCCUGUCCCCCUCUCGAAGUCCCUUGUUUUGGACCCUAGACCCCGCCAGCUGGAUCCUAGUGCGACUCCCCCCAACGGACGUCUGCUGAGUCCUCCCGGCCAACUGGAAGGCCCGCCUAGAGGCGGCCAUUGGGGGGGCCCUGUUGUGGUGGCAGCCCAGCUGACUGUUCACUCACCUCCGUCCUCUGUUCCAUCAGCUGGGCUUGCCACCCUGCCCUCUCCCCUCAGACCUCUUCCAUGGAGUCCUCCCGGCUCCUCCCCAUGCCUCGGUCCCCAGUGCCCCGACUCCCUUGUCUCCGUCUCCUCGGUUCCCUGUGCCAGGGUUUCCCCGGCGUCCGCCUCUCCCUCACCUCCAGUCCCUCAACCCCUUUUCCCCUUCAAUAAAACCUGUG
This is a long non-coding RNA of Micropterus salmoides (largemouth bass), 1256 nucleotides long. RefSeq lists it as uncharacterized. The transcript has 2 exons. Lineage: Eukaryota; Metazoa; Chordata; Actinopteri; Centrarchiformes; Centrarchidae. The record is from RefSeq and is a predicted model, not a curated record.